UAGGGAAUCUUCGGCAAUGGACGGAAGUCUGACCGAGCAACGCCGCGUGAGUGAAGAAGGUUUUCGGAUCGUAAAGCUCUGUUGUAAGAGAAGAACGAGUGUGAGAGUGGAAAGUUCACACUGUGACGGUAUCUUACCAGAAAGGGACGGCUAACUACGUGCCAGCAGCCGCGGUAAUACGUAGGUCCCGAGCGUUGUCCGGAUUUAUUGGGCGUAAAGCGAGCGCAGGCGGUUAGAUAAGUCUGAAGUUAAAGGCUGUGGCUUAACCAUAGUACGCUUUGGAAACUGUUUAACUUGAGUGCAAGAGGGGAGAGUGGAAUUCCAUGUGUAGCGGUGAAAUGCGUAGAUAUAUGGAGGAACACCGGUGGCGAAAAGCGGCUCUCUGGCUUGUAACUGACGCUGAGGCUCGAAGGCGUGGGGAGCAAAACAGGAUUAGAUACCCUGGUAGUCCACGCCGUAAACGAUGAGUGCUAGGUGUUAGACCCUUUCCGGGGUUUAGUGCCGCAGCUAAACGCAUUAAGCACUCCGCCUGGGGAGUACGACCGCAAGGUUGAAACUCAAAGGAAUUGGCGGGGGUCAUAGCUGUUUCCUG
Molecule: ribosomal RNA, 592 nt
Filed under: uncultured bacterium
Lineage: Bacteria
Description: partial 16S ribosomal RNA
Rfam family: Bacterial small subunit ribosomal RNA
Source: RNAcentral